RNAcentral lists this ribosomal RNA (497 nucleotides) under uncultured bacterium. RNAcentral's name for it is "partial 16S ribosomal RNA". It matches the Rfam family "Bacterial small subunit ribosomal RNA", at positions 28 to 507 of the family's 1533-position model. The record is from RNAcentral.
GACGAACGCUGGCGGCGUGCCUAAUACAUGCAAGUAGGACGCUGAAGAGAGGAGCUUGCUCUUCUUGGAUGAGUUGCGAACGGGUGAGUAACGCGUAGGUAACCUGCCUUGUAGCGGGGGAUAAAUAUUGGAAACGAUAGCUAAUACCGCAUAACAAUGGAUGACACAUGUCAUUUAUUUGAAAGGGGCAAUUGCUCCACUACAAGAUGGACCUGCGUUGUAUUAGCUAGUAGGUGAGGUAACGGCUCACCUAGGCGACGAUACAUAGCCGACCUGAGAGGGUGAUCGGCCACACUGGGACUGAGACACGGCCCAGACUCCUACGGGAGGCAGCAGUAGGGAAUCUUCGGCAAUGGGGGCAACCCUGACCGAGCAACGCCGCGUGAGUGAAGAAGGUUUUCGGAUCGUAAAGCUCUGUUGUAAGUCAAGAACGAGUGUGAGAGUGGAAAGUUCACACUGUGACGGUAGCUUACCAGAAAGGGACGGCUAACUACGUG